This 484-nucleotide ribosomal RNA is filed under the name uncultured bacterium. Its description in RNAcentral is "partial 16S ribosomal RNA". It matches the Rfam family "Bacterial small subunit ribosomal RNA", at positions 30 to 507 of the family's 1533-position model. The record is from RNAcentral.
AUUGAACGCUGGCGGCAGGCCUAACACAUGCAAGUCGAGCGGAUGAAGGGAGCUUGCUCCUGGAUUCAGCGGCGGACGGGCGAGUAAUGCCUAGGAAUCUGCCUGGUAGUGGGGGAUAACGUCCGGAAACGGGCGCUAAUACCGCAUACGUCCUGAGGGAGAAAGGGGGGGAUCAUCGGACCACACGCUAUCAGCUGAGCCUAGGUCGGAUUAGCUAGUUGGUGGGGUAAAGGCCUACCAAGGCGACGAUCCGUAACUGGUCUGAGAGGAUGAUCAGUCACACUGGAACUGAGACACGGUCCAGACUCCUACGGGAGGCAGCAGUGGGGAAUCUUGGACAAUGGGCGAAAGCCUGAUCCAGCCAUGCCGCGUGUGUGAUGAAGGUCUUCGGAUUGUAAAGCACUUUUAGUUGGGAGGAAGGGCAGUAAGUUAAUACCUUGCUGUUUUGACGUUACCAACAGAAUAAGCACCGGCUAACUUCGUG